This 719-nucleotide long non-coding RNA is filed under the name Bos taurus (domestic cattle). Its description in RNAcentral is "long non-coding RNA NONBTAT017290". Lineage: Eukaryota; Metazoa; Chordata; Mammalia; Artiodactyla; Bovidae. The record is from RNAcentral.
GAGCUGUAGCAAAACCGUUUUGUUUCUAAAAGGGUGUCAUUGUUAAUACUUUAAAUAUUAGGAUAAUCUGAUUUCACACCUUUCUUAAUAAACUUCAGUACAUGGCAUACCAUGUAUUAAAUGCCAUCCAUUUGUAUAUACAAAUACUCUGUUAUGAAGAAUGAGAGCGUAUAUCAAUAACCAGUGGCUAGGUGUGUAACCGGUGGCCAUUCUUAUAUUGGCUGAACAAGAAACUAAAAGCUAAAGAAUUGUGACCAGGGAAAAGAUGCUUAAGUGAAAACAGCGUUUAUGCUGUCUGAGCAGUCAGUCACAGAGACGCUUAUGUUCACUAGAGUACCAGUAUUAGAUUUUAUAAAACAAUUGACAAGGGUGUGUGUAAUUAUUUUCUGAUGUUUAAGGUAUAUGUGCAGAUUCAGCCUACUGUAAUAAUGUAAUUUUGCCAUUGCUUUUGGCUAACUCCUUUUUUGGAAAUGUCCUUUUUUUUUUUUUAAUGUAUAUGCUUUUUUAAAUAGUUGGCCAUGAAUGUGUAUAUUUACAUUUCUGAAUUAAAAUGCAGUUAAAGUAACUGGCAAGUUUUAUUGAUAUUUGUGACAUUUACUGUACCUGAAAUUAAUCACCACCAGAUUGUCCGAAAGCAGCAGGAACUUCUUAUAUAGCCACUAUUCCUCUUCCUUUUCAAAGCACCAAGCUCUUACAGACAAAUUUGAAAAUGUUACAAG